GAUGAACGCUAGCUGCAGGCUUAACACAUGCAAGUCGAGGGGAAACGGCAUCGAAAGCUUGCUUUUGAUGGGCGUCGACCGGUGCACGGGUGAGUAACGCGUAUCCAACCUGCCCAUCACUUGGGAAUAACCUUGCGAAAGUAAGACUAAUGCCCAAUGACAUCCCACGAAGGCAUCCGAAUGGGAUUAAAGAUUUAUCGGUGAUGGAUGGGGAUGCGUCUGAUUAGCUUGUUGGCGGGGUGACGGCCCACCAAGGCAACGAUCAGUAGGGGUUCUGAGAGGAAGGUCCCCCACAUUGGAACUGAGACACGGUCCAAACUCCUACGGGAGGCAGCAGUGAGGAAUAUUGGUCAAUGGGCGAGAGCCUGAACCAGCCAAGUAGCGUGCAGGAUGACGGCCCUAUGGGUUGUAAACUGCUUUUAUAAGGGAAUAAAGUGGGUCACGUGUGACUUUUUGCAUGUACCUUAUGAAUAAGGACCGGCUAAUUCCGUG
RNAcentral lists this ribosomal RNA (492 nucleotides) under uncultured bacterium. RNAcentral describes it as "partial 16S ribosomal RNA". It matches the Rfam family "Bacterial small subunit ribosomal RNA", at positions 28 to 507 of the family's 1533-position model. The record is from RNAcentral.